ACGGCUCCCCUCAGAACUCGGCCCGUCGAGGGAGCUGAGAGCAGCUCCACUGGCCCGACCCCGCGGGAUGAGAAGACAGCUUGGCUCCCCGCAGGGGCCGUCGGAAAAUACCCCUGGGGUUGGUCUGCGACCAUGACGAGCGACCCUAUUGGCCCAAUACCGGGAAGCGAGGCGGAGCUUCCUCUUCUCCGAGCCCCACCUGGGCUUUCAGCCCGCCUCAGGACUGUGCGCCUGCGCGAAGUGCACUGGCUGUGAGCUGGACCUGGGCUGUCUUGUGUAUUUGGAGUUGGACAGCCAACUACGUGACUGCAGCCGGGACUGGGGA
This 325-nucleotide long non-coding RNA is filed under the name Homo sapiens (human). RNAcentral describes it as "HSALNT0354776". The record is from RNAcentral. Lineage: Eukaryota; Metazoa; Chordata; Mammalia; Primates; Hominidae.